Molecule: ribosomal RNA, 305 nt
Filed under: uncultured bacterium
Lineage: Bacteria
Description: bacterial SSU rRNA
Rfam family: Bacterial small subunit ribosomal RNA
Source: RNAcentral
GUUCCCCUACGGGGGGCAGCAGUGGGGGAUAUUGCACAAUGGGGGAAACCCUGAUGCAGCAACGCCGCGUGAGUGAAGAAGGUCUUCGGAUUGUAAAGCUCUGUUCUUGGUGAAGAUAAUGACGGUACCUGACCAAGAAGCCCCGGCUAACUACGUGCCAGCAGCCGCGGUAAUACGUAGGGGGCAAGCGUUAUCCGGAUUUACUGGGUGUAAAGGGGGCGCAGACGGCAAUGCAAGCCAGGAGUGAAAGCCCGGGGCCCAACCCCGGGACUGCUCUUGGAACUGCAUGGCUGGAGUACGGGAGG